RNAcentral lists this long non-coding RNA (1044 nucleotides) under Homo sapiens (human). RNAcentral describes it as "HSALNT0342956". Lineage: Eukaryota; Metazoa; Chordata; Mammalia; Primates; Hominidae. The record is from RNAcentral.
UGAUUUUAUUCAGUGUUUUCGUAAGUUGGAAAAGUUUGACUGGCACAGGAAAGCAUGUCCCAUUAAAUUAGCAAAUCUUGUAAUGGAAUUAAAGUUGUUCUGGUCAGACUCUGUGAGGCUUUCCAUAUCUGGCACUACAUAGCCUACUCAAAGCUAUUUCCCACUGUAGUCCACCUAUACCUGCUAACCAGGGUAUCUCUUCACUGUCCCACUGAGGUGACUUUCUGAUGUCACAGUCAUGUAGACUGUUUCCUCAUAAGAGUUACUCUCGGCCGGGCACGGUGGCUCACACCUGUAAUCCCAGCACUUUGGGAGGCCAAGGCAGGCGGAUCACAAGUUCAUGAGAUCGAGACCAUCUUGGCCAACAUGAUGCUGGUUUCUGCAGCAGCCUCUCUGCAACCUGAGGGCAGCAAUGCCGACAGGCAGCAAGCUGCAGGCACACUUGACAGAUGUGAAGAUCUGGGUUCUGGGGAUGCUGUUGAGCUGCUCGAUGAGCCCACUUUGGACCUGCCCUACCGCCAGACUUUUUGUGAUCCAAGUGCAAGGAAAUUACAGGGCUAUCAACUCUAUCUCUUUCCAAGACCAGAAAGUCGGCAGAUGGAGAACGGUUUCUAGAUGGGGAGGGAAUCUGCCUUUGGAACUUUUAGCGACCUGGUAUGGUUCAACAUUCCAUCACUAUGCAAAAAUAAAUAAAUAAAUUGCAGACCAACGUACAAAGGAAAGCAGCAAAGUUACUCUUCGCGGGGACGGUUGUGAACAAGGUAACAUCUUAGAGACAGACCCCGGGGUCUGUAGCUUUGCAUUAAAGCCAUAGUCUCUAACUGGAGGCAGCAAAAUGUUCUUCCGCCCCACUGGGGUGAACCUGGAAUGUGGAAGGACGGGAAAUAAUACAAAGUCACACGCUUUAGGUUCUACAACUCCUGACUGGCUGAAUUGGCCCGUCGAUUUACCUUGAGGCAGUUUUGGCGGGGUGGGGGCUGGGAUGGGGGAGGCGGUUGUAGUUUUCAAGGUGAAUUUACACACACACACACACACACACACACA